CAGCUACAACCACACAAUUCAGGUUGAAAGAUCGUUGUUAAAACCGCCUCGGAUUGGUGAGUCUAAGUAUAAA
This 73-nucleotide small RNA is filed under the name uncultured Fructobacillus sp. The record is from RNAcentral. Lineage: Bacteria; Bacillati; Bacillota; Bacilli; Lactobacillales; Lactobacillaceae.